RNAcentral lists this non-coding RNA (21 nucleotides) under Caenorhabditis elegans. The record is from RNAcentral. Lineage: Eukaryota; Metazoa; Nematoda; Chromadorea; Rhabditida; Rhabditidae.
UCUAAACUGUUUCACAACCUU